RNAcentral lists this ribosomal RNA (111 nucleotides) under Castor canadensis (American beaver). Lineage: Eukaryota; Metazoa; Chordata; Mammalia; Rodentia; Castoridae. The record is from RNAcentral.
GUCUACAGCCAUACCACCCUGAACACGCCCAAUCUCAUCUGAUCUUGGAAGCUAAGCAAGGUGGGGCCUGGUUAGUACUUGGAUGGGAAAAAUGUCUGCCUGCAAAGGGCU